RNAcentral lists this ribosomal RNA (251 nucleotides) under uncultured bacterium. RNAcentral describes it as "partial 16S ribosomal RNA". It matches the Rfam family "Bacterial small subunit ribosomal RNA", at positions 525 to 775 of the family's 1533-position model. The record is from RNAcentral.
ACGUAGGUGGCAAGCGUUGUCCGGAUUUAUUGGGCGUAAAGGGAACGCAGGCGGUCUUUUAAGUCUGAUGUGAAAGCCUUCGGCUUAACCGAAGUAGUGCAUUGGAAACUGGAAGACUUGAGUGCAGAAGAGGAGAGUGGAACUCCAUGUGUAGCGGUGAAAUGCGUAGAUAUAUGGAAGAACACCAGUGGCGAAAGCGGCUCUCUGGUCUGUAACUGACGCUGAGGUUCGAAAGCGUGGGUAGCAAACAG